GCCGACGUAGCUCAAUGGUAGAGCAACUGUUUUGUAAACAGUAGGUUGAGGGUCCGAUUCCCUCCCUCGGCUCCA
RNAcentral lists this transfer RNA (75 nucleotides) under Candidatus Shapirobacteria bacterium CG09_land_8_20_14_0_10_39_12. RNAcentral describes it as "tRNA-Thr". It matches the Rfam family "tRNA". From Rfam's summary of the family: Transfer RNA (tRNA) molecules are approximately 80 nucleotides in length. Their secondary structure includes four short double-helical elements and three loops (D, anti-codon, and T loops). Further hydrogen bonds mediate the characteristic L-shaped molecular structure. tRNAs have two regions of fundamental functional importance: the anti-codon, which is responsible for specific mRNA codon recognition, and the 3' end, to which the tRNAs corresponding amino acid is attached (by aminoacyl-tRNA synthetases). tRNAs cope with the degeneracy of the genetic code in two manners: having more than one tRNA (with a specific anti-codon) for a particular amino acid; and 'wobble' base-pairing, i.e. permitting non-standard base-pairing at the 3rd anti-codon position. The record is from RNAcentral. Lineage: Bacteria; Candidatus Shapironibacteriota.